This 2818-nucleotide long non-coding RNA is filed under the name Phoenix dactylifera (date palm). Its description in RNAcentral is "long non-coding RNA (PDAC_LNC000627)". Lineage: Eukaryota; Viridiplantae; Streptophyta; Magnoliopsida; Arecales; Arecaceae. The record is from RNAcentral.
CUAUGAUGUUCCUAGAUACUGAUGGGAACUGCAGUGGCACAUGGUGAAUUGCCAGUCCCUGCAGCAGCUGAUGAAACCUUUGCAAAAAUAUAGUAAAGGCUGUAAUCCCACUGAUGAAUAGUCACAUAGUUUGCCUUGCAGCAACUUUUGCAUCUGCAUUGUUCAGGCUGCAUCUAAUUUUGCCCCAACAUUCAGCUGAAGAAUAGAUAUACUAUGCAUCAAGGUGUAAUUUUAAGAAAAUGGUGGCUUCAUUUGUUUCAUCAUAAGUCAUUCAAAUUUCAGUGGUGUCUAGAACAUUAUUAAGUAACAUAUUCUAAUAUUUACCAAGAUGUUUUAAAAAGACAAUUGCUCAUAAUUCUAAAAUGCCUUCUUUUCUUGAUUACUUCUCAUUCGUCAUUUCAAUAAAAUAAAUAUUCAAACCUUGAACUGCAGAAUAUAUGAAGUAAUCAUGCCAAAUGGUGAUAUGUUAUGAAAUGCUUGAAAACACAGAAUAUAUUGUUAGUGCCUGAGGAAGGCUGUCAAAACUAUCAAUGAUACUGUUUGAAUUUUCCACUGAUGAUAACUGCAAAAUCUAAAAUUUACAUCUGUCCAAACAUGCAUUUCACAUCACCAUAUCAUAGCUAAAAGUUGUGAAGAACUAAAUUGGUUUGAGUGAAAUGCUGAGCACUGCAGUGUGUAUGCCAAUCACUUAGCCAGGGACACUAAAUUUUGUCAUCAUGGUAACUGAGAUCCACCUAAAACAACGAUGCCUAGCUUCUUAAUACACUGAUGAUUUAUAUCCAACCCAUGAAGUUAUUGUAAAAUAACUCAGAUCUCCAUAUAUUUCAACUGUUAAAACUAUCAGCUUUGACCUACUCCCAGUUUUACAACUUUCUACCUUUCCUCGAUGUUCUGCCUUCCAUCAUUAAAAUUCCUUUGGCGGAUAUUAAAAUAAGGCCACCAGAAGCACUGACAUAAAUGGUAGAAUGGCCAUGAUAGCAGCAGCUUACUUUUCUGCAGAGCACAUGGUGCAUUGUGACAAUUCCAGCGAUCAUCCAGAAAAUUUACCAAUUAUCAUCAUUUUUAAUAGUAAACUUAUUAGAACUCUUGGAGUUUGUCAUUCAACUUUUUUUUCCAAGCUUUCCAGCCAAAAAUAAAAAAAUUAUUCCAAUGCAUAGAAUUUAUUAGCUAGUGUUUCUAGCUAAUAUCCUCAUUAGUCUUCUGGAAUCUGUUUGGAAUACUCAGAAUAAGGAUGUUUGGUCUGAACUAUUAUUCCGAUUUUUGCUUGCAUCAAAUAAUUGUUACUAGUAACUUUGAAUCAGGUGUGAAUGGGACUACACAGGGCCCAUGCAGACAAAAUCAACCAUGAUUGACAGCCAUGACUAGGGCCGAACGGUGACACCACAUUGUCAUCAAGAAACCACUCCAAUUCAGUAGAAUCAAUAAUGGAAACCCCAGUGUGCUGAUGACCACCCUCCUUGUCCUACACCUCCACCCACCACCAUUUCUUCAACUGCUAGAAUUACAUGCCACUAAUCAUGCUUGUGACACUGUUUAGCUUUCUAGCAAAGCAAUGGCACCUAGCAAAAACUGACAAGGACCCUGUUUCCCUUCUCCUAUUCCUAUCUUAACACUAUGCUGUUCCUUAUAUAACAAUUGAUUUGUUAGUUAUAAACAGUAUGGAAUGAAAAUUAACCUAAAUUUUGAGCAGGAAAAGAGAAGGAAGAUAGAUUCAUCUAUGUUGUACGCCAAACAUUUGGUGUCUAUAAUGUUAAUGAAUCGAAUUCAAGGACAAGUAAAUAAACCAACCAAUGCAGUAUGACAGCAAGCAGCAAUCCUAAAUUGCUUUCUAAACAUUGUCACCAUUAUGCAACAGAAACAUCUACUCCAUCAGAAAAUUCAUAACAAUGAUAUUGCAAUACAUAAAUAACACUCAGAUAAAGAAUUCAAUUUUUCAGAUCAACAAUCUUGCUGGCCUAGGUUGUAACAAUGCCUUCACUAUCUAUCUGGCAAUAUAUAUAACAUUCUGAGCAAAUCGAGAAGGCAAAAAGAUGUGGAAACAAUAAGAUGUAUAUCAAGUUAUCAACAAUAUUAGCAUGAUUCGGAAUUAUUAGAACAAAUCCAAUGAGUCAAAACUCCAUCGCAUUAUAAAACCAUAUUUGCAUGUGAAAGGCAUGAAGCCUCAAAUCCGAACACUCUUUCCGGCAUCACCAUAAGAUAUAUUGCCAGAAGCCAACAGAAAUUCGUAAAAAAAAAAUUGCAUCACAACAAUAAGAAACAAGAGAUGCAAUGCCAGCCACAUCAUGAUCUGUUUAUUAAAUUAAGUUCACCAUCUUGCAGCAAAUCAAAAAGUUUAAAACAAGGAUCCAUACAAAUAUUCUCUAUAGAUUCCCUCAGCGACAGGGUUUUGCCGACGACCAAAAUGAUGCGCCGCAUUUCCGAGAACGAAUAGAUCCGAAACGCCACGAACGCCAGAAAUUCCAGAAGUUAGGGAGAGAGAGAAGAAAAGCAAGUAUCGCUUAGGGUACAGAUGGAAUUCUUUUGGUUAAGUGGUGGGGGAGGAGAAGAAGGCGGAUGAGGGCAAGAUUUUGAGGAGAAAGUAGCAGAGGAAACAGAAGAAGACGAGGAGGAAGAGGUAAUCCACCAUCACGAAGAAGGUGGUCGAUCCGUGCCUCCGCUGGGCCUCCUUCUUCCCCUCCAUUGAGACGCCCCUCUUCUUCUCCUCUGCUCUCGCCGGCAGCGUCGCGAUCCAAGAACGCUUUUUUGGCGUUGGUGCUUUCGGAUGACACUUUCUAAUUUCCGUUGAUUUAAGAUUAUCUCAUUUGUUAUACUAUAUUUU